CCAACGGCCCUCUUUAGGGCCACAAUCCAUAUUCACGAAUACAAUAG
Non-coding RNA from Ancylostoma ceylanicum, 47 nucleotides. The record is from Rfam. Lineage: Eukaryota; Metazoa; Nematoda; Chromadorea; Rhabditida; Ancylostomatidae.